GGGAAAAUCUUGCGACAGUGCAUCGUUGACACUUUUUCUUUUCAUUUUCGCUUUCAUCUGCUUCACAUCCACGACACUGUUUAAUCCUGGUGACCGAAGAUGCUUCUCGUAGAAUUCCUGAAAAUCUAAUUUAACAAAGAAAUAAAGGUACCGGAAGUAAGAAACAGAAGCUGCGAAAAUGGCGACAUUAGUGAGAAGAGUCCUGGGACAAUCCACUGUCAGACUUAAUAGCUUGAGCAUUAAUUUGGAUUCCAGAGAAACUCUAAAUGCAAGAUUUCGACAACUAAGGAAUUAUUCCUGCGAUAUGUGCAAAGCAAAAGAAUGCCCUCCAAUUACUGUGCGAUCUGCCCAACUAUCCGAUUUUGAUAACAUAGUGAGUUUUAUGAAGGAAAAUUUCCUAAAGCAUGAUCCAGCAUGUACUUAUCUGUCUAUUCCUGAUCCACCACAUCAUGCUCUUCUGAAUCACUUUUAUGAAAAUUUGAAAGACGGAAUGGCACUUCUUGCUGUAGAAGAAAAUCACUGCAUUGUGGGAGUAGUUAUAAACACUGCUGUAAGCCAUUGGUCUGCGAAUAAGACUAUCCAAUUUGCAGAUUCAUGCUUAAACCGUCCUGAAAAAGACCUUCUCAAGUUUUACGCUCAUAUCGCCGAGGGACCAAAUAUUUGGGAGAAAUAUUGUGUGGCAAAAGUUUUCGAUUGCACUUACCUGGCGGUCAAGCCUGAAUGGCAGGGUAAGGGUAUCGCCAAAAGACUCAUUGAAGAGAGCUGGUAUCUGGCUAGGGAUUGUGCAUUUGAUAUUUUUCGCUUUGACUGCACCAGCUGUUACAGUGCAAAAAUUGCGAAAAACUUCGGCUGGGAGUGUAUAUACUCAUUGUUCUACAAUCGAUAUGUCGUUAAUAAAGAGACAAUAUUCAAAAACGUGAAAGAGCCUCACACAGAAGUCAAAGUUUUUAUCGAUCUGCCCAAAUUCUAUGAAGAUGACAGUCUACAUUACGGUGAAGAUUGCGAUAAAAGAAAAAAGAACAAAUAAAAAUAAUGAAUUUUAAAUACGGCAAUGAAUAAUGAGAUUAAUAUAAUAGGCUCUUUGUUCUUGCAAUCAUCGAAU
Molecule: RNA transcript, 1102 nt
Organism: Belonocnema kinseyi
Lineage: Eukaryota; Metazoa; Arthropoda; Insecta; Hymenoptera; Cynipidae
Exons: 4
Source: RefSeq, a predicted model, not a curated record